CCAUCCGAGUACGACCUCAGAUCAAACGAAACAACCCGCUGAAUUUAAGCAUAUAAGUAAGCGGGGGAAAAGAAACUAACA
This 81-nucleotide ribosomal RNA is filed under the name Tor khudree (Deccan mahseer). Its description in RNAcentral is "partial 28S ribosomal RNA". The stretch from base 12 to 81 matches the Rfam family "Eukaryotic large subunit ribosomal RNA", at positions 1 to 70 of the family's 3401-position model. Lineage: Eukaryota; Metazoa; Chordata; Actinopteri; Cypriniformes; Cyprinidae. The record is from RNAcentral. RNAcentral also lists the same sequence under 1 other name.